RNAcentral lists this ribosomal RNA (120 nucleotides) under Coniochaeta ligniaria NRRL 30616. Lineage: Eukaryota; Fungi; Ascomycota; Sordariomycetes; Coniochaetales; Coniochaetaceae. The record is from RNAcentral.
ACGUACGACCAUAGGCGUUGGAAAACUCGGGAUCCCGUCCGCUCUCCCAGAGAUAAGCCAGCGACCGUCAGACUAGUACUCGGGUGGGUGACCACUGGGGAAUCCCUGAUGUUGUACGUG